This 507-nucleotide ribosomal RNA is filed under the name uncultured bacterium. Its description in RNAcentral is "bacterial SSU rRNA". It matches the Rfam family "Bacterial small subunit ribosomal RNA", at positions 28 to 524 of the family's 1533-position model. The record is from RNAcentral.
GACGAACGCUGGCGGCGUGGAUUAGGCAUGCAAGUCGAACGGUAUCAUCCUUUCGGGGGUGAGAGAGUGGCGAACUGGUGAGUAACACGUAGGUUAUCUACCCUCAAGACGGGGACAACCCAGGGAAACUUGGGCUAAUACCGGAUGUGAGCAACUUUUAGUUGUUUGAAAGGUGGCGUAAGCUGUCGCUUGGGGAUGAGCCUGCGUCCUAUUAGUUAGUUGGUGAGGGUAACGGCUCACCUAGGCAAUGAUAGGUAGGCGGCCUUAACGGGUGGUCGCCCCAACUGGGAUUGAGAUACGGCCCAGACUCCUACGGGAGGCAGCAGUCGAGAAUAGUCUACAAUGGUCGGAAGACUGAUAGUGCGACGCCGCGUGAACGAUGAAUCCCUUCGGGGUGUAAAGUUCUUUUAUAUGUGAGCAGUGCUUCUUAUAUUAACAGUAUGGGGAGUAGAGAUAUUAGCAAUAUGAAUAAGCAACGGCUAACUCCGUGCCAGCAGCCGCGGUAAU